Molecule: ribosomal RNA, 266 nt
Filed under: uncultured bacterium
Lineage: Bacteria
Description: partial 16S ribosomal RNA
Rfam family: Bacterial small subunit ribosomal RNA
Source: RNAcentral
CUUAGUGGCGGACGGGUGAGUAACGCGUGGGGAACCUGCCCUGUACCGGGGGAUAGCAGCCGGAAACGGUUGAUAAUACCGCAUAAGCGCACGAAUGUCGCAUGACAUGGUGUGAAAAACUCCGGUGGUAUAGGAUGGACCCGCGUCUGAUUAGCCGGUUGGUGGGGUAAAAGCCUACCAAAGCGAAGAUCAGUAGCCGAGUUGAGAGACUGACCGGCCACAUUGGGACUGAGACACGGCCCAGACUCCUACGGGAGGCAGCAGCC